This 864-nucleotide ribosomal RNA is filed under the name Odorrana andersonii (golden crossband frog). RNAcentral describes it as "partial 16S ribosomal RNA". The stretch from base 170 to 643 matches the Rfam family "Bacterial large subunit ribosomal RNA", at positions 573 to 1301 of the family's 2925-position model. The record is from RNAcentral. Lineage: Eukaryota; Metazoa; Chordata; Amphibia; Anura; Ranidae.
GCCUUAAAUCUAGCCCCCAUGAUCCGCAUGAUACUCCCCAACACCUGUAAAAAAUAAAACAUUUUAACAUUUUAGUAUAGGCGAUAGAAAAAUUAUUAGGCGCUUUAGACAGAGUACCGCAAGGGAAAUAUGAAAUAGUAGUGAAACAAUUUUAUAGCCACAAACAGCAGAGACACUCCCUCGUACCUUUCGCAUCAUGGUCUAGCUAGUCCACCCGAGCAAAAUGAAAAUUUUAGUUCGACACCCCGAAACUAGACGAGCUACUUCAAAACAGCCCACAGGGGCCAACCCCUCUCUGUUGCAAAAGAGUGGGAAGAUUUUUAAGUAGAGGUGACAAGCCUACCGAGCCUAGAGAUAGCUGGUUGUUCAGGAAAAGAGUUUUAGCUCUGCCUUAAGUUUUUUCAUUUCAUCAAACAAGCCCUUAAACUUAAGAGUUAUUCAAAUUAGGCACAGCUUAUUUGAAACAGGAUACGACCUCCACCACCGGGUAAACAAGGGUAGUUAAAACUAAGUGGGCCUAAAAGCAGCCACCUUCCAAAAAGCGUCAAAGCUUAUCUACUCCAACCCACAAUUUCUAAAAUACUCCCUAACCCUUCAUUCCUACUGACCCCUUUUAUAUUAUUAUAAAAAUAAUUAUGCUAGAACUAGUAACAAGAAGUUGCCCUUCUCCAUAAUGUAAGUAUAAACCAAAACGGACCUUCCAUUGGUAAUUAACGUAAAUGUAAACCCCAUAAUAACAUAACCAGAAAACCUUAUGGCCCCACACGUUACUCUAACACUAGAACAUUACAGGAAAGAUUAAAAGAGAAAGAAGGAACUCGGCAAAUUUUAACCCCGCCUGUUUACCAAAAACAUCGCCUCUUG